UUCUUAUUGAAUUAGCCUGAGAUUGUUUUGAUUAUUGCUCUACAUAAAUCCUUAUGAUAACCAUUCUCAUCCGAACUUCUUAGCUGAGCGAUCUACAUGUCUUGCAGAGUAAAAAGUUAUGACUAGCAAAAAACCUGAGCUCCAGUAACAAGCUCCAGCCUCUGAAGGGUUAGAGCCACAAGGACAUCAGAAAGAGGAUCAGGGCAGGAAUUCAGGGACUCCUAGCCCUUCAAAGACUUGAGUAUCCUACAGCUGCUAAAAAUACUGAAGAUCUGAAGUGCAGCAAAAACAGGAGGCAGUUCUACUGACAACUUUUCAAAGAGUUUUUAAUCAACAUUCGAUUACACAGAUAUCAUGAUGUCCUAAGGAAUUCUGAUUCUGACAACUAUCUCUAGGGAAAGAAAAUCUCGCUACCUGCUUAUGAACGAUGGUCUAUAUCUCCUAAGAAAAUCUCCACUUAUAUUCAAUUUUGCUCAAGACAUUUGCCAGUGGAGACCAACCACCAUGCUGAGUCAAAGCCGACAUUAGUCCUCACAAAGAAAGUACGCAGAGAGGAACUGGGGACUUCUAACCAAGAGCCAGCAUCAACCACUGGCCUUGUGAGUGAACUUGAUCUCAGAUGAUGACAGCCUCCAGGCUUCAAGCCUUCCAUCUGUUCCCCAAGACUUUGUGGAGUAGAGACAAGCAACCCUGCUAUAAGCUGUCGGAAUUCCUUCCCUUCAAAAAUCUGCAAACAUAAUAAAAGACUUUUAGAUUUUGAAACUGCAGAAGAAGGGAAUGUGGAUCUAUAUCUCUUGAGAAUCAGAAUGCAGUGAACAAAAGCAGAAAUGAAGAUCAAGAGUGUCAACGUAUAAUUGGAAAUGUAGAUCUGAAGGCGCGCAAUCUGCUGUCUGAAAGCUGGAGCACAGGAAAGCUGGUGGUACGAUUCAGUCAGAGUCCUAAGGCCCCAGAACCAGGGGAACCUGUGGUGUAGCUCCCAAUUCAAGGCAGAAGGCCUGAGAACCAGGAGUCUGAUAUCUGAGGCCAGAAAAGAUGGAUAUCCCAGCUCAAGAAGAGAAGGAGAGAAUUCACCCUUCUUUUACUUUUUUAUUCUGUUCAGGUCCCCAGUGGAUUGGAUGAUGCAGAUCCACAUUGGUGAAGGCAGAUAUCUUCACCCAGUCUACCAAAUCAAAUGCUAAUCUUCUGGAAACAUCCAGACAGACGCACCCAGAU
This 1212-nucleotide long non-coding RNA is filed under the name Equus caballus (horse). RNAcentral's name for it is "lncRNA (ENSECAG00000033441.3)". The record is from RNAcentral. Lineage: Eukaryota; Metazoa; Chordata; Mammalia; Perissodactyla; Equidae.